CGCGGCCUAUCAGCUUGUUGGUGGGGUAGUGGCUUACCAAGGCUUUGACGGGUAGCCGGCCUGAGAGGGUGACCGGCCACAUUGGGACUGAGAUACGGCCCAGACUCCUACGGGAGGCAGCAGUGGGGAAUAUUGCACAAUGGGCGGAAGCCUGAUGCAGCAACGCCGCGUGCGGGAUGACGGCCUUCGGGUUGUAAACCGCUUUCGCCUGUGACGAAGCGUGAGUGACGGUAGUGGGUAAAGAAGCACCGGCUAACUACGUGCCAGCAGCCGCGGUGAUACGUAGGGUGCGAGCGUUGUCCGGAUUUAUUGGGCGUAAAGGGCUCGUAGGUGGUUGAUCGCGUCGGAAGUGUAAUCUUGGGGCUUAACCCUGAGCGUGCUUUCGAUACGGGUUGACUUGAGGAAGGUAGGGGAGAAUGGAAUUCCUGGUGGAGCGGUGGAAUGCGCAGAUAUCAGGAGGAACACCAGUGGCGAAGGCGGUUCUCUGGGCCUUUCCUGACGCUGAGGAGCGAAAGCGUGGGGAGCGAACAGGCUUAGAUACCCUGGUAGUCCACGCUGUAAACGGUGGGUACUAGGUGUGGGGUCCAUUCCACGGGUUCCGUGCCGUAGCUAACGCUUUAAGUACCCCGCCUGGGGAGUACGG
Molecule: ribosomal RNA, 643 nt
Filed under: uncultured bacterium
Lineage: Bacteria
Description: bacterial SSU rRNA
Rfam family: Bacterial small subunit ribosomal RNA
Source: RNAcentral